This 253-nucleotide ribosomal RNA is filed under the name uncultured bacterium. RNAcentral describes it as "partial 16S ribosomal RNA". It matches the Rfam family "Bacterial small subunit ribosomal RNA", at positions 524 to 776 of the family's 1533-position model. The record is from RNAcentral.
UACGGAGGGUGCGAGCGUUGUUCGGAAUUACUGGGCGUAAAGCGCACGUAGGCGGAUAUUUAAGUCAGGGGUGAAAUCCCAGAGCUCAACUCUGGAACUGCCUUUGAUACUGGGUAUCUUGAGUAUGGAAGAGGUAAGUGGAAUUGCGAGUGUAGAGGUGAAAUUCGUAGAUAUUCGCAGGAACACCAGUGGCGAAGGCGGCUUACUGGUCCAUAACUGACGCUGAGGUGCGAAAGCGUGGGGAGCAAACAGG